UCUGACGUGCUGCGUAUGCACAGGUGGCUGCGCGGUGCCCAUCAUUGCGCCGCCCGUUAGUGCGCCGCCCGUGGCGGGGUCUGUGUUCGGGGACGGGUGUGUUUGUGGCUGCAGUUGCCGCAGUUCGUCCCGGCCCUCCAGACUUCCCCAGCCCCACUCUCGGCCUCGUGGUCCUGGCACGCCCGCUGCUUCUGCCCCGGAUGCUUCCUCUGGGCUCCGCCCCCAGCACGUCCACGUCACGCCUGCUGCCUUAGUCCUGCAGAAAUCCUGCGCUUUGGAUUUGUGCCACCUUCUGUAAGUUGAAAGCUUCUGGACCAAGUGCGGCAGUGAGAUGGAGUCAGAAGAGGAGGUAUUUCCAUCAGAGAGUCAGCAAAAGUGGUUGACCAAGCCCAAAGGAGGGUGCUGAGGGGAGUUGAUGACCUGGAAUUUUUCAUAAGGGAUGAGGCCAUAGAUAAACCCACGUAUGCCACAAAGUGGCCAAUAAGACAUGGAAUAAUUGAAGACUGAGAUCUAAUGGAGAGGUUCAUGGAACAAGUUAUUUUUAAUUUUCCCUGAGCUGAACCUGAGGGCCAUCACUUUUUGAUGAAACCUUCCUAGCAGAUUUGCCCUGUCUGUCCGUGCCCAGUGUGGGCCCUAGAGGGGAACAAAAUUACUUUGGUACAUUUUGAUGAGUCAAGAUUCUCUCCUGUUGCUGGUGAGGGGACCACAUCUCAUCACCUGGCCCCAAGAAACAGAACCUCCUCUGAAUACACCAGAAAAUAAAGAAUAUCUUGCAGAAAUUAUGUUCAAAUUAUUUAAUGUACCAGGACUCUACAUUGCAUUUCAGGUAAGGACAAGUGACUUUCAUGAUUCCCAAGUGACCUUAGUUGUCUAAUGUGGAAGAAAUGGUGAUUCUAGAGGCCUCUGUAAGAUUGUGUGGUGUGGUUUCCUUUCCCAUGCACUCAAGUGCACAGGAACUCAUCACAUUCAGGUCUGAGCUCAAACACUGUACAGAGCAAUUUCUGUGAUUUAUGUUUUUACUGCUGGUGUAGAGUUUGUCCAGCUUUUGUCUGUUUACAUUCAUUAGAAUCUAAGGUAUCCUCAGGAAGACAAGAUCAAUAUGUAGGUGUGGUUCUUUGGCUUCUUUUACUUCUGAUCAUAAAAAAGAAAAUAUACUAUAGAAUCUGUUAAAACAAAACAAAAUGAAACAAAAUAAAUGUCUUUCAAGGGUUUCCCUUUGUGGAUCUGAGCUCCUGUGGUUCCAUGAGUUUGCAGAACUUCCCCUGAAGCUGCUUGUUCUUCGUGGGGGGGUUUGUUGUUUUUAGGUGUAAUGUAUCUGCCUCUAUAUAAGGGAAUUGACUGAAAUUUGGGGGAAUAAAUGAUAAAAUUGUUUUCCAAAAUGCUUCCUGCGUAUUCUAUUCCCUUACUUGUAGGAAAAAAGAGUAGGAGUUGCAUAGAUGUUUAACUUGGAAGAUUCCACAUGCUGUGUCCUCUGUGUGGUGAUUCUCAGUAGACAGUGAUGUCUUAAAGGCUCUGAAAAUGCCUACAUUAGGAAACUCUGUUUAUUCCACCACUUCCAAAUUUAACCAGAAAUAUUCCCCCACCCCUAAGCUGUUUCUGUUCCAUGGAGUAGGAGACACUUCAGGAAACACUGGCCCAGUGGUUCUCAAAGUGAUCUAUGCAGCAAGGUCUCCUCAAAAGUGUUUUUUUCAAAAUACACAUUCUCAGAAUUUAUAUCAGACCACGGGUUUCCAGCCUCAAAAUUUUGGAUCGGGCAGUCCUCAGGGGAGGGGAGGUUACUGAGCUGUGUGUUGGAUGUCUAGCAGCAUCUCUGGUCUUGACCCACCAGGGGAAGCACCACCACCAGCCUCCCCUCCCUCAAGUGUGACAGCGAGAAAUGGCACCAGAUAUUGCCAGGUGCUCCUUGGGGGCAAAAUUGCCCCUGGUUGAGAACCACUAUCCUGGUUCUGCCAGAUGAGAAUUUCUGGGUGCCAGGCCCAGUAUUUUGUCUUUCUAAAGUCCCCACAAGUAGUCUUAUUGCAAUCCAUCUGUGGACCCACACUGGGAACCAGUGGAUUACAAAUUAAAACCUCCUGAUUCCACAAUAAGAUUCCUUUCUCUCUGGCUUUUCUUUGCAAAGCUUUGAUUUAUCUUACUGAGAAGUUGACUCCUCCAGAUUAAGUGCACAGAAUUUACAUGUUAGUUGUCCACUUUGGAAUUUGGAUUUGGGAGGAAGAUGGAAGGUAGGGAAAGGGAAAUUUCAUUCAGUCUCAGUAAGAAAGAAAGGGCUUAUUGCUCCAACCUGAAGAUAGGCUUGUGGAACACUUGAGAAAGUCCCCAUGCUGAUGGUCUCUGUGGUAUUUGUGAAGGCAGUGAUGGCCUUAGCUGUGUAGUGGACAUCAUGACAAGUUGGUGAACACACAUUAACAGGAAUCAUCAUUGACAGCAGGGAUGGGGUCACUCACACUAUCCCAAUGGUCAGCAGGGCACCGAGUUCUGCUCUGUCUGUGGGCCUAACCUGAUUUGAGGUGAAGGAAGCAGUGAAAGAAAAAACCCUUCUGUUAAUUAAAGCACCACUUUUGAAGACAUACCUGUACUUAGCAAAGGUAACAAGAGCCUUUAAACACAGUUGUGUGAGAAAGUGGAAGAUGCCUAGUGUCUGUGGCACUGGCAGUUGGAAAUUUGCAGUAGCAGAUUUGUGCAGUCUGGUGUCAGCAGUCGUCUGAUGUCCCUGGGCUCUGCUUGGCCCCGGUGUCACUUUGACAGGAGGGUUUUCCUGGCUUUCAUUCUGAACUGUAAUCUGGGUAUCAGUGGGUGCGGCACAUGAACAUUUGGAGGAUGAUUUUGUGUUCUGUGACAAUCCUCUGGAGAGGAUUUGUUUCUUGCUUUUUAAAAAUUUUUUAAGAGCCAAGAAGGAGAGAUUGUUCACCUUGACUUGUAGGAUGCUCUGCAAUGUCACUUUUUGGUUUUAAUUUUCAAAAUAUAACAGAAGUGUUUUCUAAUUCAGGCUUCAAGAGACUAUAUAUAUAUAUAUAUAUAUAUAUAUAUAUAUAUAUAUAUAUAUACAUUUGGUACAAUGGACUAGUUAAAUGAAUUAUUUAAAGUUUUUUUUUUAAUAAAUUGAAGCUAUCUGGAGGGGGUUACAUUGGGAAUUCAGACAUGCCUUUCCUUCUCCACGUCCCUUCUUGGAGGCAACCCCUGAUACUAAUGUUUGUUAUUUUGUGUAUUACAAGUAUCUUUUGUGCAAAUAUAGGUUUGUGUGUUUAUGUGCUAAGCUCCAUUUAAAAAUGCAAUAAAUGAAUCACUAUGCUAUACACUGGAAACUAACAGAAUUUUGUAAAUCAACUAAGACAAAUUUAAAAAAUGCAAACUAGUUUUUUUUAAAAAACAAUUCAUUUAUUUCAUUUAAAAAUAGUCACUGUUUUAUUUCAAGACAUUGCAGAGAUGAUGUACUAAUAUGCUGGUGCUUUAAUACCUCAAAGUUCAGAAAUCACUGCAGGGGGAGGCUGAUGUGUCUACAGUCAGGAGGAAAAAGCCAAAUCUUUCCCCUCUGUCAUUGCACCCUGCCAGUGUCCCCUUUGCCCGGGGGUGAGGAGAGGCAGGAGUCCUGCAGAGCAUGCUCUGUGCUCGCAGCCCCUUCAUCCAGUCUCAGAACACUGCCCCCUCCUGGGUGUGAGGUGUUUAGGUGCCACUUGCUGUGUGGUCCUACCUGGCUCCUCUCUGAGGUCACGUCCUCAGAGGUCAGUGCAGGCCAAGGUCAGGGCCUGUGCCUGUGGGUCUGCUUCCUGGCCUCCCCUGUGCAUCAGAAACAAGUUUCACACUACGUGCAGGCCCAGAGAAAGUUGUUGUUCAAAUUUUUCUCUGUUUCUUAAUGCAGUUUUUUCCCCCUAUUUAUAAAAAUUACAUUUACUGUACAAAAUUUAGGUAAAAUGGAGAAAUGUAAAGAAGAAAAUAGAAUGACCCACAAACCUGCCCAGAGGACUGUGCCACACUUUUUUGGUAUAGUCUACUGAGCUCUUUUUCUUAGACAAACAACACACAUUUUAAGCACAGUUGGGAUACCCUCCAUCUGAUUUCAUGUUCUAAUUGUACAAUGUGCUCCUGAGGUUGUAUUUUGCAUAUUGACUUAUCCCUGAUGUAUCUUUAUGGUUAAAUACUCUGUGGAAAGAUAUUUAGUAACUACCUGACAGCCCAUCAUGUGGGUGAAGCACAACUCACUUACUUGUUUUCCUAACAUUGGCUGUGGUUUGUUUUAAUAUAUUUAAUCUGUGAUGAAGCUGAUACUCAACAUGGGUUGAAUUAAUUUUAGAAAAUGUUAUAUGUAAUGUAUUGAGUAUAGAAAUUGUGAAUAGUUUCUGUUUGUGAGAGCUACUGUUCUUAUGAUUUUUUUUAUUUUAAUAAUGUGUACAUAUCUUUUAUCUUGAUCUUAAAUAUUUUACAAUUGGCUUGGGCUCCUGAGAAAGGCUACACACUCUCUCACUUCUAGAAGUUGGGCACCUCAGAAGACAUAAGAGGAAUUCAGUCACUGUUCUUGCAACUUCAGUGGUAACUGUGCUUGUACAUAGUGGAACUGAUCCAUCUGUCAGAUGGAUGAGGAUUUGCUCCAGCCUUCUGUCUCCAUGAGUGUGUGACAAGCAGCCAGUGCCAUCAGGGAGCUCAGAGUGCCUCCUCUACCUGGUGCAGGUGGGGACAUUGUCCACUCUGCACAGCUACUCCCACCAGCAUGAGCUGGACCUUCCCAGCCUGUGGCCUGCAUGUUGAGUGGCACCCCAGGGGGCUGGUGAGGACCUGGGACCACACAGCAGCUCCUGGCCCUCUCCUGCUGGUGAUGGCUGACAGCCUGGUCACUGGUCCGGGAGGGCAGCUGGGUGAGUGGAUCCAAACUCCCCCCAGCAUGGAUCUCACAUAGCAUAGGGUUGAGGGGUACCUGCCAGACUGUUCCUUCCUACCAAGUGCAGCUCUUACUAGAGUGAGCAGAUCGGUUAUUGAGUCUUUAAUGCAUGCCUAAACCAUGCUGUGUACUUGACCCGCUGUCUGUCACUGGGUCUCUUCUGUGCACCCACUCACCGCAUAUGAUGGGUGAAGGUGCCAAGGCUGAAACAUAUGUGUUAACAGAUGUGGCCAUGGUUACUCUGCCCACAGAUGUGGAACCAGGAUCUGAGUCCAGGUUGUCACAAUCUAAGUCCUGCAUGCUAACCAGGUGGUUGACUUUUAAGUGCAAGCCAAUUUGUAGUUGGUUUAAAAAUUAAUAGUUAAACAGCAAAAAAAAAAAUGUGACAAUGAAUAUAUAUAUGUUCAUGUAUAACUGAAAAAUUGUGCUCUACACUGGAAUUUGACAAAACAUUGUAAAAUGCCUAUAACUCAAUAAAAAUGUUUAUAAAAUUAAUAGUUAAAACUUUUUCCUUUUUGUUAGAGGAACAAUAAAAUGACCCAUUGUUCGGACAGACAGCAGCAUUUUGGAAAUUAACUGCCUUCUGUGGUUUUCUCUUCACAUUCCUAAUGGAAAGGCCACUUUGCUUACAGAGCAUCUCAGGUGGAAGGUUAGGUAAUUGGAAGCUGCAUCAAACACAUCCCUAUUGCAGAUAGAGAUAUGUAUUUCAUUCAACAGCUGCCAAGGGAGAGGGAGGUGGGAGUCCCUCCUGAGCAACCACUGGAGACCACAAAGGCCAUUAAGGAGAAGUACUGUCACAUUUGCCCCAAUAUAGUCAAGAAGUUUGCCAAGUAUGACGUGGAUCAGCGGAAGUGGAUCAAACAGCAAACAGGGAACAAUGCCAUAAGCCAGAAGAAAUUCAUUAUCGAUGUUGGCUAGGAAAGUUUCCCAGGCCCUGAAAUUUUCUUUCACCCAGAGAUACUGAUUAACAUGCCAAGUAUAAUGCCUGGCCCAGGAAGCUCAGGAGAUGAAUCAAAUAACUUGACCAUGAAGGAGCACUGAGGAGGAGGCAGAGAUGAUCUCUGGCAUGGAGUUUUAAUGUGAGCUCUCCUCGGGCCUGGGAGAAAUUCUGAGAGUGACCCCUGAGAAUGAGCUCAGUGGUGAGAAGUCCAAGGACAGGAUGAGGUCGACAUUGCAAGUGUUUUUGGAAUAAGAAUCAACACACUUAAAGACUGGGAUUUGGAAGUGAGAAGGAGUACAUGGAAGUGAUUCAGGAAGACAAGGAAAUGAGACAGAAGUGGCAACAUUUGUCAAAGUUCUAUGCAUUUGUUCCUUUGGAUUCAAGUGAAACAUCUGGAGUCAAUUCUUAACCCAAUGUUGGUUUGUUCUCCCCAACCUCUUUGCCCUGCUAUUGGAAAAUAUAUUACAUUUCUGUAUGUUAUAUGCCCACAAAUACAAUUAAAUGUAUACUGCCUUAUGAUUUUUAAACAAGGAUACAGUAAGAACCUUGUCAUCUGUAAAGCUGUAAGAGGACCCUUACCAAGAAAAUAACAAUGCUGGCACAGUGCUUUUGGACUUACAGCCUCCAGGACUGGGAGAAAUAAAUGUUUGUUUUAGGGAAGAAAGAUAGAGGGCUGUCACCAGAAGCAAGGAACAGAGGAAGUAAAUUUCCAAAGGAUCUGGUAGAAGAAUUGGUCUAACUGUGUUCCUCAUGAGAAAAGUAUUCUGUUGGAGGACAUGUAAUAAAACAGCAGUCACAAGAUUUGAUUUAUUCACAGCUCUGAAAACUCUGGAAGACCAUGGGGAAGUUCCCUAACCUCCUUUGGGUAUUUCAUCUGAGCUGUUGGAAUUGCAUUACCUAAUCUCUCUGGUUCUUUGAAGCUGCCACAUUCAGUGAUUCUGUCUUCAAUGAUAGAUACAACAAGGAGCAACCUAAGCUGAAAGUGGCCUGAGAUGUGGAUCUGAAAAGAGAAAUUUUGGUUCCCAGCCAUAGGAGUGUGUUCACAGAAAAGAAGCCAGCUAAAGAAUGUCUUGGGUGUUCUGGACAGGCUUGGAAUCCACAGAAGUAUUUAUUUCAAGAGGAUAUCUAUACUGAUUUUUCAUUGAAGGUCAAAGGGAGUUCCAGAUAAACUGCCUGAGUUCUGGCAGUCAAAAAAGAAGGAAAUGUAGUCCUUUGAAACUCUGUCCCUCAUGAGAACAUGGACUACUUUAUCCUUGAGUGAGAGAUGAGCCAUGGGACCGGUAACAACACUUCUAGGCUUCAUUCUUCAAGGGGAGGCGACAUAAAGUAAAUACUAAGACAGAUUACCACAAGGUUCCUCUGGAACUCCUGCUUGUCUUCCUUGAAGGAGUGCUCCAUGAAGACUGCAGGGGCUUCCCUCUCACAGGCAGCAUGCACCUCCAGCAGCUCCUGCAGCAUGUCUGUGGGGAAGCUCACUCGCUGGGCUAUCUGCUCACUGUAGUGGUUGUCUGCCUUCUGAAUGGCAGCUGAGUUCUCCAGCUGGGCCAGAGUUGUCACCGCGUUCUCCAAGCGAGGUACUGCUCCACUAUUGAUAGUAUCCAGGAGGAAGGAACAUUAAUUGUGAUAAAGAUACCAAGCAAGGGCUCAACAUAGAGGCAAAGGGGAAUCCAUGAAUCAGACAAAAUGGAAGUCACUGAUAACCAUAACAAGAGUAUCUUGAAAGAACGGUGAGGUUCAAAGCCAGAGAGAAAUGGACUGAAGACAGACAUGGGAAGAGAAAAAGGUGGGAAAAAAAAAUCAAGAUUAUAUUUUUUGUCAGACAAAUAUUUCAAAAGUGGGGAGAGGUGUUAGCCACAGUAAUAUAUGACAUACAGGAAAUAUUUUUAAGAUUAUAGACAUUUUAACACAUUUAUUUGUUGAAGAGUAUAGUCCAUAAAAAAGCAAAAUGUGUUUCAAGAGCGAGUAGACACAAUUGCAAGAGUCCAGAGCUUAAGCAUGUAAAAUAAGGUAGGAUUGUGAGAAUUGGUAGGAGAAAUUUUGCUUUACAGGAAUAAAACAUACAAUAUGAUAAUGAAUUACAGUAAGACAGUGGUUUAGCAGUGAGAAAAAGGAGUGGAAAGUUGAUUUGUUAAGAGAAGUUUGGUUCUCCCUACACAAGAUCAGGACAAAAAUUAAGAAGCUGAGGUAUUAGCUAGAAUCAAGCAAUUGGUCCUUGACCCAGUACAACACUCACCAUGAUUCUGACCUGCAAGAUGAUUCAUCAAGUAGGAUUUGCCUGUAUGAUACGGCCCUACAAUGGCCACCACCAGCACUGGCAAAGAAAUCUCACCAAGAAUCUGCAGAGAUUUUUGGUUCACUGAA
Molecule: long non-coding RNA, 8171 nt
Organism: Camelus dromedarius (Arabian camel)
Lineage: Eukaryota; Metazoa; Chordata; Mammalia; Artiodactyla; Camelidae
Exons: 14
Source: RefSeq, a predicted model, not a curated record